Echinops telfairi (small Madagascar hedgehog) is the source of this 134-nucleotide small nuclear RNA. Lineage: Eukaryota; Metazoa; Chordata; Mammalia; Afrosoricida; Tenrecidae. The record is from Ensembl.
AAAAAGGGCUUCUGUCGUUAAGUGGCACACGUAGGGCAUCUCCAUUGCUCUACGUGCAGAAUCGACAUCAAGAGACUUCGGAAGCGUACUUUUUGUUACGUGGGCUGCUAGUGAUCGUUGGUCCUGGAAAAAAA